Molecule: ribosomal RNA, 642 nt
Filed under: uncultured Actinomycetes bacterium
Lineage: Bacteria; Bacillati; Actinomycetota; Actinomycetes
Description: bacterial SSU rRNA
Rfam family: Bacterial small subunit ribosomal RNA
Source: RNAcentral
CGCGGCCUAUCAGCUUGUUGGUGGGGUGAUGACCUACCAAGGCGGUGACGGGUAGCCGGCCUGAGAGGGCGACCGGCCACACUGGGACUGAGACACAGCCCAGACUCCUACGGGAGGCAGCAGUGGGGAAUAUUGCACAAUGGGCGGAAGCCUGAUGCAGCGACGCCGCGUGAGGGAUGACGGCCUUCGGGUUGUAAACCUCUUUCAGCAGGGACGAAGCGAAAGUGACGGUACCUGCAGAAGAAGCGCCGGCUAACUCCGUGCCAGCAGCCGCGGUAAGACGAAGGGCGCAAGCGUUGUCCGGAAUUACUGGGCGUAAAGCGUGCGCAGGCGGCCCGCUAAGUCCUUUGUGAAAUCCCGGGGCUCAACUCCGGAUCUGCGGUGGGUACGGGCAGACUAGAGUGAUGUAGGAGAGACUGGAAUUCCUGGUGUAGCGGUGAAAUGCGCAGAUAUCAGGAGGGACACCGAUGGCGAAGGCAGGUCUCUGGGCAUUAACUGACGCUGAGGAACGAAAGCGUGGGUAGCAAACAGGAUUAGAUACCCUGGUAGUCCACGCCGUAAACGUUGGGCGCUAGAUGGCGGGGGGUGUGACCCUCCCGGUGUCGCAGCUAACGCGUUAAGCGCCCCGCCUGGGGAGUACGG